RNAcentral lists this ribosomal RNA (495 nucleotides) under uncultured bacterium. RNAcentral describes it as "partial 16S ribosomal RNA". It matches the Rfam family "Bacterial small subunit ribosomal RNA", at positions 29 to 506 of the family's 1533-position model. The record is from RNAcentral.
AUGAACGCUGGCGGCGUGCCUAAUACCUGCAAGUCGAGCGAACAGACGAGGAGCUUGCUCCUCUGACGUUAGCGGCGGACGGGUGAGUAACACGUGGAUAACCUACCUAUAAGAUUGGGAUAACUUCGGGAAACCGGAGCUAAUACCGGAUAAUAUAUUGAACCGCAUGGUUCAAUAGUGAAAGACGGUUUUGCUGUCACUUAUAGAUGGAUCCGCGCCGCAUUAGCUAGUUGGUAAGGUAACGGCUUACCAAGGCAACGAUGCGUAGCCGACCUGAGAGGGUGAUCGGCCACACUGGAACUGAGACACGGUCCAGACUCCUACGGGAGGCAGCAGUAGGGAAUCUUCCGCAAUGGGCGAAAGCCUGACGGAGCAACGCCGCGUGAGUGAUGAAGGUCUUCGGAUCGUAAAACGCUGUUAUUAGGGAAGAACAAAUGUGUAAGUAACUAUGCACGUCUUGACGGUACCUAAGCAGAAAGCCACGGCUAACUACGU